Carassius gibelio (silver crucian carp) is the source of this 2402-nucleotide long non-coding RNA. RefSeq lists it as uncharacterized. Lineage: Eukaryota; Metazoa; Chordata; Actinopteri; Cypriniformes; Cyprinidae. The record is from RefSeq and is a predicted model, not a curated record. The transcript has 2 exons.
UAACGUUAGUCCACACAAAUAAUCCAAUCAUCAAAAUUGUCAAAACUGUUUAGAUAAUUUAAUAAUAGAUUAUAGAGAUAUAGAUUGAGAUUGUGAUUUACUUAAGAUUUUUAUCAGUUUAAUUAGUUUUUCUCCCUACAUUACUGAUCAUUACAACAGUUUAUUUGCAAAUGCUUAUGCAACUUCAUGCACUUGGCGUGCAACCCUAGUGCAGGAGGACACUAAAUUCGCAAGAGUACGUUCAGACAAUGCCCUUAUCACUCAGUGGUGCCUUAUUUAUAACUGCAUAUGUUUGGCUUCAAAGCAUUCAGCUGUUAUGUAUCCUCAUCCCGAUGUUUAGUAACGACUGCUGUUUUAACACAAUGCUGGCUUUGGGAGGGCAUAGCUCAGAAACGGGGGUCUUUCCGAGUACAGGCUAACUCUUAAAUAGCAUUCGGGCACCAGUGGUGUUGUUUACAGCUUCAGAUAACAUACACACGUGGAGCUUUCAGACACGAUACAGUCAGGAAACUUGUGUUCUGGAAAAACAGAGGGUGAGGGGGUACCAUGAGGAAGUGUUAGCGGGACUAGCUCCAGUUCAGACAGAGAAGAGAGAUUUCUAUUUUUAGGGAGACUGGAAUGUACACUGAGGCCUCUCGAAGGAUUUCUGAACAACAAAUUACAUACCGCGGUCGUCCCAGUCUCUAUAAACAUCCACCUGCCAAACUCAGAAAGUGAACAACUUUCAGAAGUGAACAGAUUUUGAAAACAGAGGGACGAGUUUGAGUUUUGGUCGAGGUUUGAUGAUACAAAGAUAUUUACAGGAGCAUCUAGAAUGUGCUUCAAAUCAGCUGAGACAAGCUUAGAUGAGCCAACAUCAGAAGUCUUGCAUUUUAAAGACAAAAUCCUGACUUCCACUCUUCUCCUGGAGCUGAAUAGCUUAAGGAAGGACUGAAUUCUCACACAUGUUGUGCUUUUCUCUCAGGGCAGAGAUCCCAUGUCACCGCAGUAUUCUGGUAUCCAGCAGCCCUGGAGACCCAGAAGCCCCAGAUAAACCUCCAAGGUGUUUCUUUAUGACAUCCUUACAAGAGUGGUGGAGUAUGUUUACACUGGGUCCAUCAGCAUCACAGUGGAGCUGGUCCUAACUGAUGCAGGCCACCUCUAGGCUUCAGUACGGAAGACUUUUUGAGGCCUGCUCCUCAGAAAUGCCUGAGUGUGAUCCGGCUCUCAGAAAUCAUGCACUGCUCAAGCUUGAGGGAAAAGCAAUGCACAUAAAUUAUCAAAUCUGUUUUGUCAUCUUCUCUUUUCUGUUAGCAGUCAUUGCCCUGCCGAUCUUGAGCUCCAUGGCGACAAAACUGCAAUGAGGCUCUUGUAAUAGUAGGUCGUAUGGUGAGCAGACGUUUCGUGAGGCGCUAUACUCUAUGAUGAGCAAAUGCACUGCUGGCAGUGGCUUGCAUCUCUACCUACAUGCUUAUGUCUGCAUUCACAGCAAUCUUUAUGUUCAUGGGUGGCUUAACCAUGAGAGCAGGAGGCCAGUGCACACCUAGCAACACUGUUUACAUGCUUUCCUCUCAAAACAAACCAAUGGAGAGUGGGCAAACCCAUACUGAUGCCUCGACCCAUCAGAGCUCCACCUACCUUCAUUUCAUUGUUGUACUGGGUGGAUUGAUGGCUGACAGACAGCUGUCCAAUGAAGUAGAGCAAUACAACACCAUGUUCAAUCAAUCAUGCCCACCGCAGUCAUAGGUGUCAAUAGGAACACUUCCAUUCAAGCUAAUUGAACAUUGGCUCAUCUGGUCUAUCUCUCUAAUAAGUUUCUGCCUACAUGAAUGUAUUUAUGUGACAAUGUAACUUAAUGUCUGUUUAUUUCUAACCUGUAUUUGACAGAUCCUACUGAGAAGAAUAUUGAGUAAAAAUACAAAGCUUAUUAAGUUAGCAAAGUAAUAGGUCUUCAAAAGUCUCUAAACGUGUUUGCACAUGUUGGUUUUUGAAUGUAUGUGAAAUAUUAGUAAAAUAACUAAUAAUAACUAUUAAAAUAGCUAAAAUAGAAAAUAAAUAAAAAAUAAAAAACAUUUAAAAUCGAUCUUAAAUCAUAUAGCAGAUACAAGUAUGAUAUUUUGUAACUUGAUUUUGAAAUAUCUUAUAAAUCACCUGAUCUAAUAAAUAAAAAUAAAAAAAUGUAAAAAAAAACAUUUUGUUAUUGUUGCAUAUUGUAAGUUUAUAUGAGUACUUUAAUGUAAAUACAUUCAUUUUUUAAACAGAUUUGUUUAUUCAUGUUUUUCCCCAAGUAUGUAGUGGUUAUAUCCUGUUGAAAAUGAGUUUAAUUGUACAGUGAUGUUUAUUAUGAAUUGCUUCAUAAACUUUUAUAAUGCACACUGUACAAAAACACACUGUAAUAAACUGCUCAGUCUUGUGUAUAUCCA